Molecule: ribosomal RNA, 800 nt
Filed under: uncultured Actinomycetes bacterium
Lineage: Bacteria; Bacillati; Actinomycetota; Actinomycetes
Description: bacterial SSU rRNA
Rfam family: Bacterial small subunit ribosomal RNA
Source: RNAcentral
UCCGGAUUUAUUGGGCGUAAAGGGCUCGUAGGUGGUUGAUCGCGUCGGAAGUGUAAUCUUGGGGCUUAACCCUGAGCGUGCUUUCGAUACGGGUUGACUUGAGGAAGGUAGGGGAGAAUGGAAUUCCUGGUGGAGCGGUGGAAUGCGCAGAUAUCAGGAGGAACACCAGUGGCGAAGGCGGUUCUCUGGGCCUUUCCUGACGCUGAGGAGCGAAAGCGUGGGGAGCGAACAGGCUAGAUACCCUGGUAGUCCACGCUGUAAACGGUGGGUACUAGGUGUGGGGUCCAUUCCACGGGUUCCGCGCCGUAGCUAACGCUUUAAGUACCCCGCCUGGGGAGUACGGCCGCAAGGCUAAAACUCAAAGGAAUUGACGGGGCCCCGCACAAGCGGCGGAGCAUGCGGAUUAAUUCGAUGCAACGCGUAGAACCUUACCUGGGUUUGACAUGGAUCGGGAGUGCUCAGAGAUGGGUGUGCCUCUUUUGGGGUCGGUUCACAGGUGGUGCAUGGCUGUCGUCAGCUCGUGUCGUGAGAUGUUGGGUUAAGUCCCGCAACGAGCGCAACCCUUGUCCACUGUUGCCAGCACGUUAUGGUGGGGACUCAGUGGAGACCGCCGGGGUCAACUCGGAGGAAGGUGGGGAUGACGUCAAGUCAUCAUGCCCCUUAUGUCCAGGGCUUCACGCAUGCUACAAUGGCUGGUACAGAGAGUGGCGAGCCUGUGAGGGUGAGCGAAUCUCGGAAAGCCGGUCUCAGUUCGGAUUGGGGUCUGCAACUCGACCUCAUGAAGUCGGAGUCGCUAGUAA